RNAcentral lists this transfer RNA (56 nucleotides) under Mus musculus (house mouse). It matches the Rfam family "tRNA", at positions 8 to 63 of the family's 71-position model. Rfam says of the family: Transfer RNA (tRNA) molecules are approximately 80 nucleotides in length. Lineage: Eukaryota; Metazoa; Chordata; Mammalia; Rodentia; Muridae. The record is from Rfam by way of RNAcentral.
UGGCUCAGUGGUUAAGAGCACUGACUUGGCUCAGAGGUCCUGGGUUCAAAUCCCAG